RNAcentral lists this transfer RNA (60 nucleotides) under Leptotrombidium pallidum. RNAcentral's name for it is "tRNA-Leu". The record is from RNAcentral. Lineage: Eukaryota; Metazoa; Arthropoda; Arachnida; Trombidiformes; Trombiculidae.
AAACGGUAAAGCAUUUUAGAUGUAAUAGAAUUUAAGCUUCUUUGAAAUUAACAUCGUUUA